UUUUUAGUAUGAGUAUGUUCCAUGAAAUAUUUGGGACAUAUUUAUACUAAAA
This is a microRNA precursor of Camelus ferus (Wild Bactrian camel), 52 nucleotides long. It matches the Rfam family "mir-1302 microRNA precursor family". Lineage: Eukaryota; Metazoa; Chordata; Mammalia; Artiodactyla; Camelidae. The record is from Rfam.